This 464-nucleotide ribosomal RNA is filed under the name Vreelandella stevensii. RNAcentral describes it as "partial 16S ribosomal RNA". It matches the Rfam family "Bacterial small subunit ribosomal RNA", at positions 338 to 794 of the family's 1533-position model. Lineage: Bacteria; Pseudomonadati; Pseudomonadota; Gammaproteobacteria; Oceanospirillales; Halomonadaceae. The record is from RNAcentral.
CCUACGGGGGGCAGCAGUGGGGAAUAUUGGACAAUGGGCGAAAGCCUGAUCCAGCCAUGCCGCGUGUGUGAAGAAGGCCUUCGGGUUGUAAAGCACUUUCAGUGGGGAAGAAAGCCUUGGGGCUAAUACCCUCGAGGAAGGACAUCACCCACAGAAGAAGCACCGGCUAACUCCGUGCCAGCAGCCGCGGUAAUACGGAGGGUGCGAGCGUUAAUCGGAAUUACUGGGCGUAAAGCGCGCGUAGGCGGUCUGAUAAGCCGGUUGUGAAAGCCCCGGGCUCAACCUGGGAACGGCAUCCGGAACUGUCAGGCUAGAGUGCAGGAGAGGAAGGUAGAAUUCCCGGUGUAGCGGUGAAAUGCGUAGAGAUCGGGAGGAAUACCAGUGGCGAAGGCGGCCUUCUGGACUGACACUGACGCUGAGGUGCGAAAGCGUGGGUAGCAAACAGGAUUAGAUACCCCGGUAGU